Molecule: ribosomal RNA, 273 nt
Filed under: Triticum aestivum (bread wheat)
Lineage: Eukaryota; Viridiplantae; Streptophyta; Magnoliopsida; Poales; Poaceae
Description: partial small subunit ribosomal RNA
Source: RNAcentral
AUGGCUGCUCCGGUGAAGGCGUCGUGGAUGGUGGCCAUGAGCGUGGGCGCCGUGGAGGCCCUCAAGGACCAAGCCAGGCUCUGCCGAUGGAACUACGCGCUCACGUCCAUCCACCGGGCAGCCAAGGCCAGGACCAACGUCCGCGGCAGCGUCUCGCAGGGCCCCAAGCAGCUUCCGGCCUCCGCUGCGGCUGUGGCGGAGAGGCGGCGAGCAGAGAAGGCCGAGGAGGGGCUGAGGACAGUCAUGUCCCUCAGCUGCUGGGGGCCAAAUUAG